AACUCUACAAUGCAGGCAACUGCGAUAGGGGAACAUCGAGUGAUACUCAUCUUGGGUGUCUGUCCUCCCGUCUAAAAGACGGGAGUUAGCAAGGGCCGGGCAAGACCGGUGCCAGCCGCCGCGGUAAUGCCGGCGGCUCGAGUGGUGGCCGAUAUUAUUGAGUCUAAAGGGUCCGUAGCCGGCUUUGCAAGUCUUUUGGGAAAUCCAGCGGCUUAACCGUUGGGCGUCCGGGAGAUACCACAUUGCUUGGGACUGGGAGAGGUAGGAGGUACUCAGGGGGUAGGAGUGAAAUCCUGUAAUCCUUUGGGGUCCACCGGUGGCGAAGGCGUCCUACCAGAACAGGUCCGACGGUGAGGGACGAAAGCUAGGGGCACGAACCGGAUUAGAUACCCGGGUAGUCCUAGCCGUAAACGAUGCUCGCUAGGUGUCACAACAAUCGUGAAUUGUCGUGGUGCCGUAGGGAAGCCGUGAAGCGAGCCACUUGGGAAGUACGACCGCAAGGUUGAAACUUAA
Molecule: ribosomal RNA, 513 nt
Filed under: uncultured archaeon
Lineage: Archaea
Description: bacterial SSU rRNA
Rfam family: Archaeal small subunit ribosomal RNA
Source: RNAcentral